CUGAAUUUGACUCUAUGUCUGUUUUCUUUAGAUGGCCCCUGUUCCUGAGUAAUACCCCAUAGGAGCCCCACACUACUGAUGUAUUGCAUUAAUAUAUCAUCAGUAGCAGUUGUCAUUCCAAUGAUGUAUUAGUGUAAUACAUGAGAACGAGGCUCACUGAUGAUGUAUUUAGGCCUUACAAUAUGGCAUUGUCCAGGGAAGCAAGGGUCCAAUAAGAGAUUCAUUACAAUUACAGUAUGAAGUCAGCUAAUGCACUGCAGGUUGGGAGAUGCAUUUCUCGUACCAGAGGGAGUAGCAAGAAACAUGAAAUGAAGAAGACAAGUAUUAUAAAAAGAAGGAUUGGAGCCAAUCAGAAAUGGGUGCAAAGCAUUCUGCUUAGAAUCUGGGGCAGAGAAAUCGUAAACUGCAGCAAACAUACACUUGCUUGGGUGUUGGGCGAUCAGCAUUCUGGAAGUAAGGCUCAAAUUGCCUCAACGUAUUCCAAAACCUGUGAGGAAAGGAAAGUGAUAGAACAACUUGCCUGAGCGGCAGCAGCAGAAGAGACCAUCUGUGCACCAUUUGGAGAAGUCCCCUGAAGAACUCCCCUGAAGAGCACCGGAUCGUUUUCAUUGAACCAUGGGCACAGGAUUAAGAAGGCCUCACGCUCGUGUUUCAAGACAACUGAAAGGAAUUGAAACAGGUAUUUGAGUUGAGAGCAUAGACCUUGUCUGCCAUAACAAUUUGGUCAAAAUAGGUAUCUCCAUUCUCAAUUAUGUGCAUUUUAUUGUUAUAGAGGGCUAUGCAAGAUUCAUGAACAAUUAACGAAGAGAAAUGAGUUAUCCUGUAGACUAGAAUCUGUUAGAAUCGUCUAACUGAUUUUCCUAUGUUCGUAUAUUCAGAGCAGUAAUGGAUCAAAGAAUAAGAACUUUGUUGUAGGUUAAGUAGCUUCACUGUACAUAUCGUACUGAAUUGAUGCACAUCUAAUAUAUGUGAAUCAAUAGGUUGGAAAAAACAGCAAAUCACGUAUGAUGCAGACUGAGGGAUCCAAGAAUAUAGGGAAGCUGCUGUCAUACAUUGGCUGCUUAUCAUUAGUGAUUAAAAAAUGGCUGAUCAGUUCUACUUUAUCUUCUCCAAAGUGAAGAAGGAGAUAGCAUUAUUUUCCUGCAUCAUCAAAGAGCCUCACAAUUGGAAACUCAAAUAUAUAUUUAAAAAACAGUUAUUUCAUCUAAGAGCAGUUUUUGUAAAAGAGUGAUGUCAACAAAAAUUGAAGCCUCUCUGCACUUUACAGGAUAAAUCCCUGAAAUUCUUUCCACAAUCCAAAUUGAUAGCGUUUAGAACAAUUGUUUUUCAUUAUGGGCACUUUAAUUCCCCUGGUUCUAAACCAAAUCAUUUUUGUUUAUAUAUGAAGUGUCAACAGAUACUGUACAUAUUGAACUCAUAAAAGUCUUGUGUAACACACAGCUAAGUAAAGAGAAGAAAAGAACUGCGGCGUAUACCAAAAUGCUAGUCAAAACUGUUAAAUUGUACGUUUAAGAGUCCCACUGCAGAGAAAAGCUUUCGUUUAUUCACUCCAGUUGUGCAGUUAACAUGAAUGCAUUAAAAAAAGAUAAGUGAUAGCACUUCUAAAUUCUGCUAAUCCUCAUUUUUGCUUUUUAUCUGUGACCAGAAGCUAUUUUGUCAUGAAAGCUGCAAGAUUUCCGCAGUUUACAUUUGAAACAAUUCUUUUUUCCUUCUAAGCUCUCAGGAUAUUCAACAACUCCAAUAACUAUCUGGAGUUUGUGCUGUAGAAUUAAUUUUUUUUUAAUUUUAAUCUUCAAGAUCAGGAGAGAAUAUAGGAUUUGUUUUGCAUAAAUUCUUUGAAAAGAAAUCUCUUUGAUUUUAAUAUUUUUGGAGUACUAUUGAUGUAAGAUCAAACCUUCUUUAAAUGGUUAGGAAUAAAAUAUUGAGGUAAUACA
This 1934-nucleotide long non-coding RNA is filed under the name Struthio camelus australis. RNAcentral describes it as "lncRNA (ENSSCUG00000015720.1)". Lineage: Eukaryota; Metazoa; Chordata; Aves; Struthioniformes; Struthionidae. The record is from RNAcentral.